AGACCGGUAGCUCAGUGGUUAGAGCACCAGUACGAGAAAUCUGGAGGUCCCAGGCUCAAUCCCUGGCCAGUUCA
RNAcentral lists this transfer RNA (74 nucleotides) under Collybiopsis luxurians FD-317 M1. RNAcentral describes it as "tRNA-Ser (AGA) (tRNA-Ser-AGA-2-1)". It matches the Rfam family "tRNA". From Rfam's summary of the family: Transfer RNA (tRNA) molecules are approximately 80 nucleotides in length. Their secondary structure includes four short double-helical elements and three loops (D, anti-codon, and T loops). The record is from Rfam by way of RNAcentral. Lineage: Eukaryota; Fungi; Basidiomycota; Agaricomycetes; Agaricales; Omphalotaceae.